GAUGAACGCUGGCGGCGUGCCUAAUACAUGCAAGUCGAGCAAACAGACGAGGAGCUUGCUCCUCUGACGUUAGCGGCGGACGGGUGAGUAACACGUGGAUAACCUACCUAUAAGACUGGGAUAACUUCGGGAAACCGGAGCUAAUACCGGAUAAUAUAUUGAACCGCAUGGUUCAAUAGUGAAAGACGGUUUUGCUGUCGCUUAUAGAUGGAUCCGCGCCGCAUUAGCUAGUUGGUAAGGUAACGGCUUACCAAGGCGACGAUGCGUAGCCGACCUGAGAGGGUGAUCGGCCACACUGGAACUGAGACACGGUCCAGACUCCUACGGGAGGCAGCAGUAGGGAAUCUUCCGCAAUGGGCGAAAGCCUGACGGAGCAACGCCGCGUGAGUGAUGAAGGUCUUCGGAUCGUAAAACUCUGUUAUUAGGGAAGAACAAAUGUGUAAGUAACUAUGCACGUCUUGACGGUACCUAAUCAGAAAGCCACGGCUAACUACGUG
Molecule: ribosomal RNA, 497 nt
Filed under: uncultured bacterium
Lineage: Bacteria
Description: partial 16S ribosomal RNA
Rfam family: Bacterial small subunit ribosomal RNA
Source: RNAcentral